AUGCCUGAGCUCAAUCUUGUGUGUUUUAAGGAAACAGAAAAAAAGGGAAAAGAAAAAGUCUUUUCCUGCCUUGUACCUCUGUCUAACUAAAAAGAGAGGCAGCUUCCUCACAGAAAAAUAUCACUGAUCUUAAAACUGAAUUCAAAGAACUGAAGAAGGAAGUUUCUAGUGUUUCACUUCUGUGGAUUUGGCCCAGAAAAAUCCACAGAGAAGGUGUUAAAGUCAGGUAAUUUAUCCUGCAUCCCUUAGAAAGCCCUAGAGCCAAUCAAAACUCUCCCCAAAGGGCUGAAAUCAGGCUCUGAGGGUUGUGGGAGUGACAGAGCCAUGUAAGCUCUCUGGAUUCACAGGUUUAGGUCACUGCUGAUGGAUUCAAUUACUAUGGGAGGACAUUUCAUGCUGUCUAAUUUUCAUUCAAUUGGAUGAUUCUCCCAAAUCCUUCGUUCUUUACCAUAAGUUUACUCAUUAUUUUAGCUUUACCUCAAGGCACUUUCCCCUGGGAAUUUUUCUGAGACCAGUGUGAGUUAGGUGUACUUCCUGUGUUUUGAUUUGUCAUACUAAAAAUCUUACAAGUAUGAAUUUCUACAUGAAAUAAAGGUAAGAUCUUAAUCUUAACAAUCUAGGUCUUAGAUUUCACGGUAUGGGCAUUAAACAAGUGUUUAUUUCUGUAUAGCCUUUUUGAUGAGUACCCAGCAAUCCCACUUCUACGAAUGUCUAUCAGUGAAAUUCCAGCUUAGCUCUGUAGUGGCUUCAUAGAAUCCAGUCAUUGCAGCAAUUUCAGGCAGCAGAGAGUUGGGGCAACCUGCAUGUCCAUCACCAGAAUGAGUAAGUACUGCAGUGAAUACAAGUUUGUGUGAAGUUUCAUGCUCUGCAGGAGUCACAACUAAUGAAGCAGAGGUACAUGUAUACCAAAAACAGGUGGAUUUUUCAGUGCAAAGUAAAAUCUAAGAAACAAAAUGUAUAUCAGGAUGUAUAGUACAAUACCAAAAUUAAAAUUACAGAGUUACACAAAAUACAGUGGGUGAGGCAGUAGCUGAAUGACUAAUGCCAGAGGGAAUGGUGGCAAAUUGUGUGAAGAGGGGAAGAAACUAAGUUAAAUUAUCUGAUUGGCACACUUGCCACCUCUUGGAAGACACCUGAUUACACUCAGUCCCCUGCCCUCUUGCUGGCCAGGAAGAUAAUUGGUCACAGGUGGCCCCCUGACCCCACCUCACUCCACAGUUUCUUAUGGCAAAGCGUUUCCUUGACAGAAAAUGCUAAAUGUCGCCAAAGCCCCUCCCUUGGGGUCCUGGUUUCUAAAAAGUCUUUUUUUCUGUAAUCAAGAGGUUAAUGUUUGGGUGUGUUGGAAGGAUACAGAAAAAGGCAUAGCACAGUAUGGACAAUGGUCUUGAAAUAAAAUUCCUCCUUAUUCUGCCUGAAAUUUCCUGACAUGAUGACAUGGUAUUUAUGAGGAUGUGGGUCACUGGGCGAAAGCCUUCCUUGGUCUUGAAUCAUGGAUUUUGGGUAUUGUUGGUUUUGGUGAAUGGAAUAUAUAAGGAAAGAAAAAAAGGGCCACAAAUAUGAAAAUGCUCUAAAAGAAACAAUAAUUUCACAAUACUGAACGUGAGCCAUUCAGGAAAUGUCCAUUUUAAAUUUUAAAGAUAGCUCCUGGGUGAACGGUGGUUUUUGUAAUGCAGUGGUUGUCACGUGUGCCACCCACGCGAAAUGGAAACUGGGCAGAAAUAUCUCCUUAUGGGUCUCUCUCUCUCCCUCUCUCGCUCUCUACUUCAGCUUGGGUAAUUUGUUUCACUAAACUCAACUCAAGCUCUCUUAAACCCAGGUCUGGUGCUUAAAACAAUAUGUCUUUAUUCCCUUACAGGUCUAGGGGUCAGAAAUCUGCAAUCAGUUUCGGUGGACCAAAAUGAAAAUGUCAAACAGGGUGUCUGACACCCUCCAGAAGCACCAGAGGAGAAGCAGCUUUCCUUGGCCUUCCCAGCCAAAUCUCCCUCUGCCUCUCUCCCCUGGUGACGACAAUGGCUGGGGUCUUGACUUGCCAAGUGCAGCGUGGCCCGUACUGGUCACCUGGGUAUAGCUUUACUGAAUUUCGCAGAUCUGGAAACGGAGAAGGGACUGGAUCUCCAAACUUGGACUGCCUUGGACUGACCCUGGCCUGGAAGGUGUGGGCUCAGGACUCCGAGCUCAAGUCAGUCUGUUCCCCCAACCCCUAACCCACUGCAUCCGGGUGAGGAGUUGGGCCCGAGCGCCACAGCGCAGAUAGGGUUGUUAGGAGCGAAAGACUGGAGACCCAGGGACUGUGGGGCUGGGCUGGUGGGGCCACUGCUACCGACUAAGCAGUACGGGCCGCCUGGAAGACCGAAGGCGGAGUUCGCUGAUGCGGAAGCCAAGGCACAGGGCAAUAAGGAUCCGCGCCAUUUCUUGUGAUGUCACCUGAAGCCUUGGCGGGUAGCUGCCUCUCAUCCAUUCGGAGGACAGGGCUCCAGCCACCGGCAGCUCUGAAAGAGUUUGAAGAAUUUAUUGUUCACAGAUGGUAUUUAAAUGGACUUAUUUCUAAAAGUCACAUUCCUUUAUUACUUAUUUGUUAUUAGAAGUACCCAUUUUCAUAUGUGUUUAAAACUAUUUGUGUCUCAAAUUCUCAGGAGAUUGAUGCAUCCCAGUUUACUCUUUUUGGCAUAUGUUUUUACUCAUAAAUUAGGUUAAAUUUCAUACUUGUUUUAUAAAAUUUAGUUAUUUGGUUACAUUAAAAUAUUUGUAUCC
Long non-coding RNA from Homo sapiens (human), 2751 nucleotides. Lineage: Eukaryota; Metazoa; Chordata; Mammalia; Primates; Hominidae. The record is from Ensembl.